Molecule: long non-coding RNA, 9294 nt
Filed under: Homo sapiens (human)
Lineage: Eukaryota; Metazoa; Chordata; Mammalia; Primates; Hominidae
Source: RNAcentral
CUCUCAUCGGCAGCAGGGCUCCUGGAAGUCCUGCUUCUCAUUACUACUGUGGACUGGAGCCUCCCCAGAGCUCCCUGGGGUCCUUGGCCUGGGUGAAGAUGGAUGAAGAUCAGAUCCAGCAGCUGUGGGUAGAGGAGGGUCCAGGAAGCAGGCACAAAGAGAGGAUAUUGCAUUUGAGGAUACUGUGAGAGCUCUGUCAGAGGCUAUCAGAGAAGCUCCCUGCAUGACAGCAGAGUGGUCUAGACUGGACCCCAAGUCAGACCAGCCCAAAUGAGCAAGGUUUGCAGAAGGUGGUUUGUAUAAGAAGACCGAAACAGGGUGCAGCUCAGCGCUUGGGAAAGUUGCAAGGGGCUCUGAAGUGUGUUGUUUGAUUUACAUUUGUGGGGUUCCAUAAAUAGGCACUUCACAGAUGCAGACUCUCAAAAUUCUACCAAGAACCGCACAAUAUAGCUGACCACACUGGUCUGCACUUGAUAAGUGAGGAAAUAGAGGCUCAGAGAGCCAGAAUCACAUAUAUAAUUACUACCAGAGCUGGAAUUCCAAUUCAGGCUCAUCUAAUUUGAAAGCCCAUUCUCUUUACACCACACUUCACUAAGACCAAGUCAGCCCUGCCCCUGGGGAGAAAUUCCCUAAGCCUUUAGCAGAGAUCUUGAUAGUCCUAAUGUAUUAGCUUCUCUAAUACAUGUUUAUAAUUCUUGUUGUUGUUUGCUGCUGAUGUUGUUGGUUGUGUCUUAAGGGAAGGGCUAGGAGGGCUUACUGAGAACACUAUCACGUUCUUUCCAACUUUACAAUAGAAGAGGACUGUCUCAGAAGAGAAUCUGGGGCUCUUCUGGAUGUUGUGGGUUUCACCAUUGGAACUGAUGAUUCUCAUGCAAGAGAAGACCCUCCCUUCCACUGUGGGCACUAAACUGCAGUUCUCUAGACGUCUGGACAGGAAUUUCAGCACAUGCUGGAGGGCCGCUCCCACAGAACUUGUAUCUUUUACUUCAGCAGACUCCUGGCUGCCAGUUCUGUAUCUCUUUCUUUUUCUGGAACCACAGAAGAUCACAUUGUCCAAUGUGCCAGGCUAGAAAUACUAGGGGAUUAAGCUGCAGCUCCAUGUUGAGGUAACUGACUUAAUAGUACACCGUUUAGUGACUAUCUUCCUUCCUCUGUUUUUCUUCUUUUGUUUGUCUACCGUUGUCUGCAUGAACAAAAUAAUCCAUUUGUACCCAAAUAUUUAUAUCAGGCUCUACUUCUGGGAGGGCCAAAACUAAGACUAAGAGCCAUGGUUUCAUGUUUAACCAUGCGAUAAAACCUUGUUCUAUAAGAACAAUUGCUUUCAUUCUAGGGCCCCAUUCACAUAGCACGGAAAACAGUAACGAUGUAACUGUUCUGUAAUAUUUCUGUGCAGAGAAUAUGCAAAACAGUGUGGGCGAGGUUCUUUACCAAAACAAAACAGUGCAGACCAUGUGAUCUCUGGCUCUUUUACUGCAUAAUCUGGCUUUGGAGACAUUGCUACACAUUCAUGCUGAAUGUUCUUGCUCUCUCUCCUAUUUUCAUGCCACUGUGUCUUCAUGCAUAUCCCCACUUGGUUUUGACAAAUCUGGCCUCCUAAGCCUUAAAGCCAUUUCAUUAUUGCUGACACCAGUCCAUUGCUCAGACUCUAAUACCUCACUUUCUCUGGUUAUGUAGGGGAUUUUCUUAUGAUCCUGGAAGACAUCCUGGGAGAUAAAACCUCCGAAGUAUCUGGUUUCUAUUAGAAUCAAGUCUGUAGGAUUAGAAGUUUCUUAAUGCACAAUUAUAAAAUGCACAACACCAGAUGUAGUUGUCCAUAUCUUCUUUCAUAUUCCUCCUUUCCUAUUAUUGCUCAGCUAAAUGUUUCCAUGGGGAAGAAAAACACUUGAAUCUUAAAGUGAACUGUCAGCUGAUGUCCCUGAAGUACAUUCAUGAUAUUGUUCCCAAUGUCCACAUGUCUCUGGAGUCUGUAUCACAUCCUAGAAUCCAUUCUAUGCAACCUCAUUAACUGCAAAGGGCAUGGGACAAGUUAAAAGGGAUCCUGCCUGGCAGGUGAAGCAUGGUGUCUGUAAAACACGGUGAUGGCUACUAUGUCCAUUCAAGCUAGUGGGAUGUUUCAGAUGUAUCCUCUAAAGUGGAUAAACUAACAAUCCAGGUACUGGGAGUGUACCCAGGGGUUAUUCAGAAGUCCAGGCUAGCAGAUUACAUCAUAGAGUUGCAGAGGCUAGAAGGACUUUAGGGUUAGAGGUUGGGCUUGAGUCCUGGCAGCAGCUUAAUAAAAAGCAGUGGUUCUUCACCUGCAUCUGCAAAAGUGAAAUGAGGCCCAUGAAUGUCCUACAGUAUUAUAGAUAUUACAGAAAGAGAAUUACCACAAAACCACCCAGGCUACUAAUGACAACUUCCUUAUCUUUAUUUUGGAAAUGUGGCAGCUUAUCAUGCUCAUAUGUUCAGCAGAAACAUCAAAUAACAUUUACAUAACUUUUACUAGGAAAAAGCCAUGAUAAUGUAAUGAUAAACAUAAAUGCGGUUUAAGUAUUAUUUAUUCCUCCUGUAUCUCUCACUGGACAUAUGUUUCUCAAGGUCAAGUUUCUAUCUUAACUUUGCAUUCUCAGCACCCACCACAGGAAAUGUUAUGUAGUAGAUGCAGAUGAAAUACAGUAUUUGUUGAAUGAAAGUUAAACAAGAAACCAUUUGCAACCUCAGCACUUAACACAGUGUUCUAGUAGGCAAGCAUUUGUUGAAGGACUGAAUUAAGUAUACAAAAUAUUGCACAACAAAAGGACCUGGUUAGUAAAUAUAUUAAAAUGGAUUAUUAUAUAUGUUCUUAUGUCGCAUGAGCAGGAGUGGGACUAACCACCGGGAAACAAGGGAAGUGGAGUUUCAAUCUGAGGAAGAAUCUGUACAGUUACAGCUACUGAAUAGCAAAACAGAGAGGGGGCAGACACUUCUAUUUUCCCUAGCUCCCAAACGCUUCUCACCAUUAUCAUCCACUCACCACUACACUGAUUUCAAAUAUUUCACAGAGCAACCACUAAAUGGAAACAGAUAAUCACAGAUAAUCCUUAUUUUGCAAAUAUGGAAACAGAGAAAUUAAGCGAGCUGGCUCCUAUUGCUCUGUGAGGCUGAGAACUUGGAAUAAGUGUCAUCAUUGAUCAUUCCUCUUCCAGACCACCUAGUUUCUCAUUCAUGAUUAUAUUUCCCUAAAGGGUACACACUUGAGAGUACUUUUCGAAGACUUAGCUCCAAGGACAUUACUAACAUUAAUGUAAACUUCAUCAUAUAACCUGGGAAUAAAAAGCACAAUGGGAGAAAAUUAACUUCUGAGAGCUGGAGGUAAUAAGGAACAGUUGAAAGAGGGAGGAGACUAAAUUUUAUCCCCAGCUCUGGCAUUAACUAACUGUGGGGCAUUAUAGAUAAGUCCUAGAACCUCUCCAGACCUCAGUUUCCCCAUACCAAAAAUGAGGGAAUUGUGGAAGUUACUGUCUGUCAUAUGAUAUUGUGUGUCUCUUUAAGAUUCUGCAAAUUUAGGACACAUAAAAAUAUGAAGUCUUGGGAAUACUAUCCAAGAACCAUCAAGAGAGAAGGUAAGCCAAGUUCAUAAGACAAUUUAAUCCUCAGAAGCAAGACUCAGCCAAUAGCCAGACAGGCUGCGAUUCCCUUUGCUGUGUUUUCCUACUUUUGUGCCAAUCCCAAAAUGCUAAGUCAUUGCUUUUGCUAGAAGGAUAUUUUCUUAUUGCAUUCUGAGGAUUUGAACAAAUAUUUUCUUCUUGAGGAAAGCUUUCAGAACAUUUUCAAAUUGAAGGUUAGGCUUUCACGACAAAAGGAGCCUCCGCUCUGAAAAAUUUAACUCCCAGGUUUGGAUAGAUGCCGCACAUGGAAGAGAGAGAUCAGCAUCUGCUGGGCUACACUUUGUUUGACAUAGCCCUUUCUUUCCACCAAUACUGAAAUGGCUUUCAGCAAAGCCUGUGGGCACUGUGGUUUCCACAGCAGUCCUCUCAGGAGGGGCAGACACUGACAAAGCAUUUAGCUUCAGCCUUGUGACUGGUGACAUGCUGAAGCCAACCAGUUGGCUACCUACAUGGAAAACUAUGAGACUCACCUCCCCCCUUACCCUUGUUUUGUAGAGAUGCCUGCCUGAAAUUCCACUUCUGGGUCCUUAUCCCUUUCCUACAAUUAUGCAGCUUCUUUCAAUUGCAGAGAAGGGUCAGCCUGCAAAAACAACAGGUCCACAAACUAAAACGUUGCUUGCUAAUAAUUUUAUGAAUCAAUCCACAAGAAGUGGGCUCCUAUAAUUCCCUAUUAUUUAAAAGCAUUUAUUAUGCUUUUAAAUCACUUCUGAAUUUUUUUAUUUUUCUUGAUUCCAGUUAGUAGAUGGAAAAAAAUAUAUAAGCUCUAAGGUGGUAAAUGAUUAGAGUUUUUUCACACUGCUGAGUGAAGGGUGUCACAUUUAAUGCAGCUCUGCAUAAAACCAGGCUUCAAAGGUGGCUAAUCAUCUAGUUGUCAAUUCAUCAUUUAGGUAGCAGAGAAAAUAAGCUUCACAUUAAUGUGUAUUUACCCUUUAUAAAUAUUGGCAAACAUUAUCUCUUCUAAAAAUUCUUCUCUGAAUUCCCAGAAUGAAGAGUUUUUCUCUGACCUGUGUUCCCAGGGCAGCCUGAACUUUCCAUGGUCACUUACCAAAAUAUAUUAAAAUUGUGCCUCUGUCUCUCCAGUUGAGAGAGAACAGCCAUGUCUCACUCAGGACCCCGACUUCUGGAAUUUGAGGAAGGAAUCUUUUUUAGGGAGUAUUACCAAUGGAGCUUCAGCAACCAGGCUACAAUGCAAUGGCAUGAUCUCAGCUGCAACCUCUGUCUCCUGGGUUCAAGUGAUUCUCACGCCUCAGCCUCCUGAGUAGCUGGAACUGCAGGUGUGAGCACAUGUGCAUUUUCAGACGCCAGGGUGGACUGAGUAGACUCCUGCUCUGCUAUGGAGUACUGCAAGUAAGGGAGGGCGUAGGCCUCUUUGGGGAGGUUUCCUGGACAGAGGAAGCACCAUGGAUGGAAACUACUUCUGGAAUGGUAACCCAACAAUAGCUCCUGCGUAUUCCUAGUUUUCAAUGUGAAUGGUGCCUCCUUCUGCCAACCACACAGAGCAAUACUGCCAGCCCAAACGCACAUUCCCAAUUCCUGUGUACUACCUGCACGUGUAGUCCUGGCUGGGUGUGGUCCAGCUUUCCUCUUUUCUGCCUCAGCACAGAAAGCUGAAAGAGACAGCUUGAAGGUCAGUACAGGACCAGAAUCCAGAGGGUCCAGAUGAUCUAUUCCAACAUGUAGAACUGAAGCUGUGGAAAACAGGAGUGUGAAGCCAAAUUCCAGGCAGAUACCACUGCAAUGAAUGUUGCAAUGAAUUAUUCACUUAUUCUUUUAACAAAUAUUUCUUGAAUUCUUUCCUUUGGCAAGACACCAGGGGAGGAUGUGAUGCCCCAAGAUAAUUUAAACAAUUCCCUGAGUGCUGAAUUCCAAGCCUCAAUAAAUUGUUCACACAGACAAAUAGCAGCAGGGCUUUCUCUGAUGAAUAAAAACAGAGUAAUGUCUUUGUUUUUUAAAAAAAGAAAGAAAGAAAAAACACCUAAAUUAUAUCCGGCUUUUCUGAUGUAGCCUCAAGAUUACAUGGCAAACAAUUAUUUAACAGAAUGAGAGAACUCCAAUGGUCUCAUCCACCCUGUAUGGGCUGAUUUUAGAAGACAAUAAACAGUGACAAUUGUAAAACUUAAUGGAAUGGAAUGGAAUGAAUGAGAUGCCAAGAAACAUUCUCAGUCUUCAUUUAUUGCUCUUGCAACAGCCUUUGAGUUAGGGCCAUGUUCAUUUGUACCAGAUAUGAUGGCUGUUGACAAACUUUAACAGGAGUUUCUUAUUUCUGCUUGAGUGGUUUGUCUACAACUCAUCUCCCUACUUCUACUCUGACUCCAUCCUCUGGAUUUUUCUCAAAACAUGGUUCUGGUCACAUCACCAUUUAGUCCAACUCAUCAACAGAUGAUCAUUGUCUAUAGCAUACAACUUCUUAAUCAUUAUUUCUGCCCACCCUUAUCUCACAGUUCACCCUGUUACUUGUCCUGUAGCCUGAGAGCACAUGUAACAUACAAGAUACCGUCUUUCUUCACUACCUUGUCCACAUACGCUCCCAUUUCUCAUUCAUUGCUAUAACCUCUAUGGAAUGUCCUAUUAUCCAUCUCUUUAUUUCAGAUCCCUAAGUAAUCAACAGGCCUGUGAUGAAGUUUGAACCCAGUUCAAAUCGACAGAUAUUUAAGGAGUGCCCAGGCUUGUAUCAAAGAGUAUGAUGGGCUCUGGGGAUGUAAAGAUGAAGGAAUGAGAUAGGUCCUUCUCAAGAGAAGCAUACAGUCUAGAUGGAGAGACAUGCACAGAACAUAUCCAGGUGGCAGAGAAGUGCCAUCCUGACCCUAUAGCACAGAGUGAUGCGAUGGCAGGUGCUUCAGAAGCUCAGGAAGAGUGCACCUUGCUCAGCCUGGCUGAAGGUGUUGCUAGAAGGAAGUAUCAGGGCUUGGUGUCAGAUUAGGAGUUAUCCAUGGUACGGAAAGUAGAGAGGGAUGUUGUCAUGGGCAAGAGGAACAUGAACAAAGAUUGGAACUUUCUAUGACAUCUCUUCAACCCCCUUUUAUUUCAGAACUGAAUUAUUUCACCUCAGAUGUAAUGUUUCAUUACAUUUUUUGUUGUUGCUUUUACACUGUUACAAUACUAACCAUAAUCAGCCUUAUAUUUUGGUUCCUUGAUUACAGUUAUUAUUUAUUGGGUACCUGGUAAUUUCCAGGCCCUGUGCUAAGCCUUACUAAAAGUUGCCUCAUUUAAUCCUCCCCACAACCUUAAGAGGCAGGCCGUAUUGUCAUGCUCAUUAUGUGGAUGAGGAAACUGCAGCUCAGGGAAGUAAACUACACAAGGUUGUACAGCUAUUUUACUGUGCACAACCAUAAGUUAGAGCACUUGAUAAAUGGUCUCUAUGGUUCUGCAGACAGAGAUUCUGAUCUAGUAAGUUUCAACUGGGACUUGUAUGUGUGUUUUAUCAAAUCACUAAGGUGGUCGAGAGCCAUAUUUAAAAGAUUAGCACUGUUCAGAAGGAAGAGACCUAAGACUUAUACCCAGACCUGUCAGCUUCCAGAACCUGUUUCUAGACUUGCCUGCUCUUGGAGAAAGGGAACAUGUUACUCACUGUUGUAUCUUACAGAGUCACUGACAAUGCAGCCUUGCAUGUUAUAAAUGUUAAAAAAAAUUUUGACUCAUUGCUGGGAUUAAAGUAGUGAUUCUCAGCUUUUUGAAAGAAGACAACUUUAUCUCUCAGUAAUGAAAUAAUUUUGCUUUUAUUUCUAAUUGAUAUUUACCUUAAUGACAAAGUUAAAAGUUUUUAUGAUCCUGAGUUUUCUCCAAAUUGGAUCUUACAAAAUUACCAUUCCCUUUUAUGCUGUCAAUAACUUGACACGUAUUUCCAGUGCAUUAGUCCUACUGAACUAGUGAUUUUCCUAAAACAUAAAUCUGGCCACGUCACUCCACUACUUAAACCUUUUCUAUAACAUCUCAUCACGAAAAGAUAAUAGCCACCAUGUUUAGCCUGAGGUCAAAUAUUAUCUGAAAUCUCACCCCAUAUCCCUCUCCAGCCUUUUUCUCACUAUUCCCACCUUUGCGCAAUGUGUACUAGAACUCAAAAAUAUAUGUAGUUUCUCAAAUUUGUGAAACUGUCUCCUGCCUCUUUGUCUACUCUUUCUUUGACUGGCAUGCCCUUCUCUGAUUUAAUCAACUGACAAAUGCCCAUUCCUCCUUUAAGACAUAAUUCAAGUAUCUCUUUCUCUGUGCCUAAUUCAUUGAUUCUUUUAAGCAAAAAUGAUUGUUCUUUCUUUGUUCCAUAUGUCCCUUAUAGCACAUUUUGUUUAUAAGCCUGUAGUCUCCAUUAAAGUAGUAACUCUUUGAGAGAAUUCUGCCUUUUCUCCACAUCAUCACUGUCUAAUAUAAUGCUUGGCACAAAAGGUUGAGUUGCUUUCUGUUGAGUAGAUUAAUAGAUGAGUGAAGAAAUGAGUCAAGGAAUGAAAGAAUGUGUGAAUGAAUCAAGGUAUCUGUCUUUACUUCCCAUCUCACAUUGAAUCCAUCAGGAAAUUUAUUAGCUCUACCUUCAAAAGAUUUACAGAACAUGAUUAUUUUUCACCAUCUCCACUGCCACCAUCCUAGUCCAAGCCACCCUAACCCCCAGCCAAGAUUUCUCUAGUAGCUUCCUAAUUGUUCUCUGUGCGUUGAUCCUUGAUCACCUCUAAAGUCUAUCUACUCCCAGCAUGGAAGCUAGAUUUAUCCUUUAAAAGUAGAAAUCAGAUUAAAACUCAGCUUUGGUUUUUGUUUCAUGCAGGACAAAAGCUCAAGUCCUUCCAAUGGCUUACAGGCUUUAUAUAACUACAACCUCCCCUUUCAGGCUCCUGCUCUGUCCCACUUGCUUUCUUCUUUUUUUUUUUUUUUUUUUUUGUUUUUGUUUUUUGAGACGGAGUCUCACUCUGUCGCCCAGCCUGGAGUGCAGUGAUGCGAUCUCGGCUCACUGCAAGCUCCGCCUCCCGGGUUCACACCAUUCUCCUGCCUCAGCCUCCCGAGUAGCUGGGACUACAGGUGCCCGCCACCACGCCUGGCUAAUUUUUUUUGUAUUUUUAGUAGAGACAGGGUUUCACCAUGUUAGCCAGGAUGAUCUUGAUCUCCUGACCUCGUGAUCCGCCCGCCUCGGCCUCCCAAAGUGCUGGGAUUACCGCUUGCUUUCCAAUCCCAUUUCUUACCACUCUUCCUACCACUUUCUACCACUCUUGCUCACUCUACUCCACCACACUGGUCUCCCUGCUGUGCCCCAUCUAGCAGGCAUGUUUCCAUCCAUCGUAAGGCCUUUGCAUGAGCCGUUACUGCUGCCCCAAAUGCUCUUUGUUCAUUGUCAGAAUGGCCCACUCCCCUACCUCCUUCAAGUCUGUGCUCAGAUUGUACCUUCUUGACUACUCUUAUUAAUGUAUUCUAAUUAUCUGGGUAAUGACUGCAACAUAGUAGACACUCAGUAAAUAUAAUAUAUUUUGAAUGAAUAAAUGAAUGCAUGACUACUCUCGAAUGUAAGCUUCUUAAAUGCCCUUGUAAGAAUUUUUUUUUUUUUUCGAGAUGGAGUUUCUCUCCUGUUGCCCAGGCUGGAGUGCAAUGGCGCAAUCUCGGCUCACUGCAACCUCUGCCUCCUGGGUUCAAGCGAUUCUUCUGCCUCAGCCUCCUGAGUAGCUGGGAUUACAGGUAUACGCCACCACGCCUGCCU